AGGCUCAGCAGAAGCAGAGUGUUCCAUGUGGUCGCCUUUCGGACGAAGGUCAAGAUGAGCGGAGACCACCAAGCACUUUUCCAGAAGGAUAUUAGAUUUCACUGGAGCCAGAAGCUCAGAAGUACACUCUGGUCUCUGGAAAUUGCAAGCCUUUCUCAGGUGCCUCCAAGCACAAGGAGCCCUCAUUCACAAAAGGAGAGAGAGGCUAUUUCUCCAACUGUCUUGCCCAGAUUCUGCCAAGGACCAUGUCCUGCCCACUUUGCUGCAUCUCCUGAUCUUUCACAUACAACUCCUCAGCUUGACGUCAGUGUUUAUGAAGGGUUCUCUGUGGAAAGGGAGCUUUUGAAUGGCCGAAGAAAGGUGAUAAGACAUCAGGAUGUGUGGCAGAGGAGAGCGGCUAUUCUGUUUUGGAAAGCCAUGCAGAUGCUUUGGAAUGAUCUUUAAGGCGCAGUCACCAGACCUCCAGGUUAAGCCCGUAUUUGAUGAGAAUCCUGUUGGAUGAAAACAUGGCCAUACGGUGAUUAUUACAAUGGACUAAGGUUCCAGAUUCUGCGCUUGGAGGCACGGGUAAAGCAGCUAAAAGACACCUGAGAUGGUGGCAGUGGAACGAGGAGGUAUGACUGCCUGAAGUGACCGGUGUCCGGUGCCCACCUUGGAAUCAGGAAGGACAGUCGCCCAGCAGUUACAUGUCGUCGGCAGUGAGCUCCACACAGCAGCUCCCCUGAGCUUUUGAGGUCUUGAGGCGGCUCCUGGGCCCCACCCCUCUGUCUGGUGUCACCGUUGUCUGCCGCGUCCCCUGUUACUUUGCACACUUACCCUACCUUGCUAUAGCUUUAGGGCAAACAGAAGUUUGCUGAAGCUCCCAACAUGUGCUUCUCUUUUUAAAUGGCUCAAAGCUGAGAAAACAUUGAAGAUCAACGUUCCCAGAGGAAGAAGAAAGUAUGCAGGGCCUGUCACUUCAGGAACAGUGAAACUGCACUUCCACCCAGAAUUGUACAUUAGCCUUUUCCAAAGGCUGUUUUCCAACACCCUGGCUGGUUCUCACAGAGCAACAAAACAGUCGGCCCAAGUGGGAUGGUGGACCGAUUCAAAUCUCUCACCCAGGAACCUGCUGGCCUCAGGCCAGUUGCAGGUGAAGCUUUUUGCAAGGUAGUGGCCUGGUUGGCUGUGUUUCAGGCUCAGUUCAAAGUCCACAGUUUUCAUCAACAAAUGUUUCUUGUGCAAAGGGUGUUUUAAGGUUGCUGUUUUGAGAGUCUGUUUUCCAGAAAAUGUGAACUGUUUUUAUUAUCAAAUGUCUUUUAGCCUUGUGACCUGAAACAAAGUAUCACUAAGGUCUGAAUGUCAUCAACUUAAAAACAAAACAAACCAAAAAAAAAAACCCUGCCUACUCCAGCAUUUUAAUAAGUGAACAUGUCAAUUUGUAAUUAAGGCUCAGAUUUUCAAUCGCCUAAGUGGCUGACACCGAUUCUACUUGGCAUCACUGCUGAUUUAUUUCUCUUGGAAUACAUGUAGUGCCAUUAUGUCUUGGUGACAACAGAAAUAAGCUUUGGCCAGGUCUGUGAAUAGUUUGGGGAUGAAGAAAAUAAGUUUUGAAAGGCAAUGGGCACUGCUGAUUACAGACUUUUAUUAGGAACAGAUGUGGGGCUCUGGUUUUGAGUGGUAGACAAACUGUUAUUGAAACAAGCAGCUAAGGGCUAUACUAUCUUCUUUUUUAGGACAGAGAAAUAACAAAUUGAAUUCAUCAUUUUUUUUCCUUCCAGGGAUUGCCUAAUCAUCAAAAAUAAGCUCUAAGAUAUUUAUUUAUGCAUAUGUUGAACAGUGCAGAAACGAGGUGGGGGGGACUGUUUUUGUUAACAUAUCUCCAGGCUGAAACAGAGGUUUAGAAAGUCAUCAUACAGUACUUCCUUUACCACCGUGCCUCAGACCUCUCCACUUCAACUUUGUUUAUGGCCUCCCCCUUCUAACAGUUUCAUCCAUUUAGGGUGUAGCAGUACCAAGGCUAAGUUAUAUACUUAUGAUCAUAAGCAACCUCAAAACUCCCUUUCCACAAGAAACAAAAUGAUCAUUUUGUGUAUUCCUGGCCGAGGCCCCUCUUCCUUCGAGAACAGAGUGAGCAUCUUGAAUUACCGGCUGCCCAGUCUGGGGCUGGGUCAGCUGAGGGGGAGGCUUCAGACAUUACAGAUGACUUCCAUCUCUCUCUGCCAUUCCCUUCUUUCUCCAGUCAUGUAUUGAGACCCCCCUCCCCUUCAUUUAAUAACACUUCCCAGAUAUUUCCAAUGAUGCUUCCAAUCACAUACCACUAGCCAGAACUUACUCACAUGUCCACACUUAGCUUCAAAGGAGACCAGGAAAUGGAGAGUUAUUCUGAGUGGCCAUGUGCCAAGUUAAAGAAUCUGGGUUCAGCUUUGUAGAAAAACAAGAAAUGGAUAUUGGCAGUAACUAGCAGGCUGUACCAAUGGCUUGUACCAAUUUACACUCCUGUCAGCAGCGUAUGAGAGUUUCUUUUCCUCCGUGUUUUUAUUAAAAU
Vicugna pacos (alpaca) is the source of this 2527-nucleotide non-coding RNA. Lineage: Eukaryota; Metazoa; Chordata; Mammalia; Artiodactyla; Camelidae. The record is from RefSeq and is a predicted model, not a curated record.